Molecule: ribosomal RNA, 260 nt
Filed under: uncultured bacterium
Lineage: Bacteria
Description: partial 16S ribosomal RNA
Rfam family: Bacterial small subunit ribosomal RNA
Source: RNAcentral
AGCGGCGGACGGGUGAGUAACGCGUGGGUAACCUGCCUUAUACAGGGGGAUAACAGUUAGAAAGGACUGCUAAUACCGCAUAAGCGCACAGUACCGCAUGGUAGUGUGUGAAAAACUCCGGUGGUAUAAGAUGGACCCGCGUCUGAUUAGCCAGUUGGCGGGGUAACGGCCCACCAAAGCGACGAUCAGUAGCCGACCUGAGAGGGUGACCGGCCACAUUGGGACUGAGACACGGCCCAAACUCCUACGGAAGGCAGCAG